This 76-nucleotide transfer RNA is filed under the name Thermoflexus sp. RNAcentral describes it as "tRNA-Asp". It matches the Rfam family "tRNA". From Rfam's summary of the family: Transfer RNA (tRNA) molecules are approximately 80 nucleotides in length. The record is from RNAcentral. Lineage: Bacteria; Bacillati; Chloroflexota; Thermoflexia; Thermoflexales; Thermoflexaceae. RNAcentral also lists the same sequence under 4 other names.
GGGCCCGUGGUGUAGCCUGGCCUAACACGCCGCCCUGUCAAGGCGGAGAUCGCGGGUUCGAAUCCCGUCGGGCCCG